UGCCGAGACACGGGGUGUCCUGCAUGCAGGGCUGAGAUAACACCCGUUGAACCUGAUCCAGUUCAUACUGGCGAAGGGAUGUCAGCCUGCCGGUUC
This 96-nucleotide non-coding RNA is filed under the name Oceanimonas sp. GK1. Its description in RNAcentral is "TPP riboswitch aptamer (THI element)". It matches the Rfam family "TPP riboswitch aptamer (THI element)". From Rfam's summary of the family: Vitamin B(1) in its active form thiamin pyrophosphate (TPP) is an essential coenzyme that is synthesised by coupling of pyrimidine and thiazole moieties in bacteria. The previously detected thiamin-regulatory element, thi box was extended, resulting in a new, highly conserved RNA secondary structure, the THI element, which is widely distributed in eubacteria and also occurs in some archaea. Analysis of operon structures identified a large number of new candidate thiamin-regulated genes, mostly transporters, in various prokaryotic organisms. The record is from Rfam by way of RNAcentral. RNAcentral also lists the same sequence under 1 other name. Lineage: Bacteria; Pseudomonadati; Pseudomonadota; Gammaproteobacteria; Aeromonadales; Aeromonadaceae.